GGCUAAAACUCAAAGGAAUUGACGGGGACCCGCACAACCGGUGGAGCGUGUGGUUCAAUUUGAGACGAAGCAAAAAACCUUACCAGGGUUUGACAUAUUACCGUUUUAUACCUUUGGAAACAAGGGUAGAUCCGUAAGGAUGGUAGUACAGGUGCUGCAUGGCUAUCGUCAGCUCGUGCCGUGAGGUGUUCCCUUAAGUGGGGAAACGAGCGCAACCCCCAUGUAAUGUUAUAUAUUCAUUGCAGACAGGUCGCCGCAUAGGCGACAGGAAGGAGGGGAAGACGUUAAGUCAGCACGGCCCUUAUACCCUGGGAUACACACACCCUACAAUGGCGAAAAACAAUGAGUUGCAAGCUAGCAAUAGCAAGCUAAUCUCUGAAAUUUCGCCUCAGUUCAGAUUGGGGUCUGCAACCCGACCCCAUGAAGUCGGAAUCGGUAGUAAUCGCGGAUCAGCAGGCCGCGGUGAAUACGUUCUCGGGUCUUGUACACACCGCCCGUC
Molecule: ribosomal RNA, 499 nt
Filed under: Candidatus Levyibacteriota bacterium
Lineage: Bacteria; Candidatus Levyibacteriota
Description: bacterial SSU rRNA
Rfam family: Bacterial small subunit ribosomal RNA
Source: RNAcentral